ACAGGUAGGAAGUCUCGAGUCUUUACAUUGUAUAUGAAAUACGUUGGGUGUUUUUCAAGACCGAGGUGAAUUUAGGAGGGGUAAGAGUUUUGGUGGGAAAAGCCUGUUAACAAAGACAUUCCUUUAGUUCAUACUGGAGGGGGAGAAGGAACCCACUUCUCCUGUCAUUUACAACACGGUGUAAAUUGAUCUGAUCCUCACAGGACAGUCAUGACACCACCAUAAGACUUCGUACACAAGGCGGUUGGGGUUUAGUGUUCUUGUUCCUAACUUAGUCCCUCUCUCUACACUGGCAGUUGUGAGAACCCGGAGGAUCCGUACCGUGUAGUCUUCCACCCGGUGGUAGCUGACGCCAGGGUCCACUUCCCCCCCUCACGUCAAACGCUUUGAGGUCUAUAUGUUUUCCUUCGUCGAGGAUGCGGUUGAGCCGAGUGGCCAGGUCUUCGUCCAUUGUGAUGUGGUCAUCUGUGACGCCAGUAGUCCCUCUGGCGGCCCCUGUAGUGGACAAUGUGUGAAUCAGGACAACUUGAAAAGAGGUCAACGACAUGUCAAAGACCUCUUUGAGGAGCCUCAUUUCUAUGUUUCUUCUGGAUACAUUCUUUGGGUGUAAUGUCUUGUUCUAACAUGUCAAAUAAAGUGUUCUAUAUAACAA
Molecule: long non-coding RNA, 652 nt
Organism: Salvelinus fontinalis (brook trout)
Lineage: Eukaryota; Metazoa; Chordata; Actinopteri; Salmoniformes; Salmonidae
Exons: 3
Source: RefSeq, a predicted model, not a curated record